RNAcentral lists this ribosomal RNA (245 nucleotides) under uncultured bacterium. RNAcentral's name for it is "partial small subunit ribosomal RNA". It matches the Rfam family "Bacterial small subunit ribosomal RNA", at positions 26 to 285 of the family's 1533-position model. The record is from RNAcentral.
AGAAUCAACGCUGGCGGCGUGCCUAACACAUGCAAGUCGAACGAGAAAGUGGAGCAAUCCAUGAGUAAAGUGGCGCACGGGUGAGUAACACGUGACUAACCUACCCUGGAGUGGGGAAUAACUGAGGGAAACCUUAGCUAAUACCGCAUAACACCUACGGGUCAAAGGAGCAAUUCGCUUCAGGAGGGGGUCGCGGCAGAUUAGCUAGUUGGCGGGGUAAUGGCCCACCAAGGCAGUGAUCUGUA